RNAcentral lists this ribosomal RNA (497 nucleotides) under uncultured bacterium. RNAcentral's name for it is "partial 16S ribosomal RNA". It matches the Rfam family "Bacterial small subunit ribosomal RNA", at positions 28 to 507 of the family's 1533-position model. The record is from RNAcentral.
GAUGAACGCUGGCGGCGUGCCUAAUACAUGCAAGUCGAGCGAACAGACGAGGAGCUUGCUCCUCUGACGUUAGCGGCGGACGGGUGAGUAACACGUGGAUAACCUACCUAUAAGACUGGGAUAACUUCGGGAAACCGGAGCUAAUACCGGAUAAUAUAUUGAACCGCAUGGUUCAAUAGUGAAAGACGGUUUUGCUGUCACUUAUAGAUGGAUCCGCGCCGCAUUAGCUAGUUGGUAAGGUAACGGCUUACCAAGGCAACGAUGCGUAGCCGACCUGAGAGGGUGAUCGGCCACACUGGAACUGAGACACGGUCCAGACUCCUACGGGAGGCAGCAGUAGGGAAUCUUCCGCAGAGGGCGAAAGCCUGACGGAGCGACGCCGCGUGAGUGAUGAAGGUCUUCGGAUCGUAAAACUCUGUUAUUAGGGAAGAACAAAUGUGUAAGUAACUAUGCACGUCUUGACGGUACCUAAUCAGAAAGCCACGGCUAACUACGUG